Molecule: transfer RNA, 73 nt
Filed under: Treponema sp.
Lineage: Bacteria; Pseudomonadati; Spirochaetota; Spirochaetia; Treponematales; Treponemataceae
Description: tRNA-Pro
Rfam family: tRNA
About the family: Transfer RNA (tRNA) molecules are approximately 80 nucleotides in length. Their secondary structure includes four short double-helical elements and three loops (D, anti-codon, and T loops).
Source: RNAcentral
CGGGACGUAGGAUAGGGGCUAAUCCGUCUGGUUCGGGACCAGAAGAUCGGCGGUUCAAAUCCGCCCGUCCCGA